This 200-nucleotide ribosomal RNA is filed under the name uncultured bacterium. RNAcentral's name for it is "partial 16S ribosomal RNA". It matches the Rfam family "Bacterial small subunit ribosomal RNA", at positions 524 to 721 of the family's 1533-position model. The record is from RNAcentral.
UACGAAGGGUGCAAACGUUGCUCGGAAUUAUUGGGCGUAAAGCGCACGUAGGCGGUAUUGAAAGUUGGAUGUGAAAUCCCUCGGCUUAACCGAGGAAGUGCAUCCAAAAACUCCAGUACUUGAGUACUUAAGAGGAUCGCGGAAUUCCCGGUGUAGAGGUGAAAAUUCGUAGAUAUCGGGAGGAACACCAGUGGCGAAGG